This 373-nucleotide ribosomal RNA is filed under the name uncultured organism. RNAcentral's name for it is "partial 16S ribosomal RNA". It matches the Rfam family "Bacterial small subunit ribosomal RNA", at positions 527 to 896 of the family's 1533-position model. The record is from RNAcentral.
GUAGGUGGCAAGCGUUGUCCGGAAUUAUUGGGCGUAAAGCGCGCGCAGGCGGUCCUUUAAGUCUGAUGUGAAAGCCCACGGCUCAACCGUGGAGGGUCAUUGGAAACUGGGGGACUUGAGUACAGAAGAGGAAAGCGGAAUUCCAAGUGUAGCGGUGAAAUGCGUAGAGAUUUGGAGGAACACCAGUGGCGAAGGCGGCUUUCUGGUCUGUAACUGACGCUGAGGCGCGAAAGCGUGGGGAGCAAACAGGAUUAGAUACCCUGGUAGUCCACGCCGUAAACGAUGAGUGCUAAGUGUUAGGGGGUUUCCCGCCCCCUUAGUGCUGCAGCUAACGCAAUAAGCACUCCGCCUGGGGAGUACGGCCGCAAGGCUG